AACUGAUACUACCUGCGGGAACCUGCGGAGGGAUCAUUACUGAGUGAGGGCCCUCUGGGUCCAACCUCCCACCCGUGUUUAACGAACCUUGUUGCUUCGGCGGGCCCGCCUCACGGCCGCCGGGGGGCAUCCGCCCCCGGGCCCGCGCCCGCCGAAGCCACCUGUGAACGCUGUCUGAAGUUGCAGUCUGAGAAAAUUAUUAAAUUAAUUAAAACUUUCAACAAUGGAUCUCUAGAUCGG
Molecule: unclassified non-coding RNA, 240 nt
Filed under: soil metagenome
Description: partial contains 5.8S ribosomal RNA, internal transcribed spacer 2, and large subunit ribosomal RNA
Source: RNAcentral